Molecule: long non-coding RNA, 1294 nt
Organism: Lycium barbarum (goji berry)
Lineage: Eukaryota; Viridiplantae; Streptophyta; Magnoliopsida; Solanales; Solanaceae
Exons: 3
Source: RefSeq, a predicted model, not a curated record
GGACAAGAUUAUUUUGGGAUAUGAGACAAAGACUUUUAAUCCCCGAUUUUAAUAAGUGCACGACUUGUUAAUUAAUUGCAGUUAGUGUAGAAAUAUUCGUGGGGAUUAAGGAUUAAUUAGGCUAAUUAGUGUAUUAAGUGGGCUCCACCAAGCAUUAUAACAAAAAAAAAAUCUGAUCUUGAAGACAUUCUAUAGUGGGCACGUGUGGGAGCAUUAUGCUGCCCAUAAACAACACUUUGAUGACUAAAAUAAUUCAUUCAUCACAUUGUCAUCUUCCACACUUCAUUCCCAAAUCUGAAAAUUUAGAGAGAUGAGACAACAUGUGAGGUCUUAGUGGAUGACUCACACUUCCAAUACUCAUUAAAUUCGAAAUUUAGAGAGAGAGGGGGAUUUCCUCUUCAACCACAAAUCUGAAAAUCUAGAGAGAGGCACUCAUCUUCUCCACAAAGUGAACUAAAGAAAGAGGGAGAGAGCUACACGGCCAUGGACAUGGCAGUAGCUUCAGGAAGCUCACGGCUAGCUCCUCUUCUUCCCCCCUUCUACACAAUUAAGUUGAUGAUUUCCAAGUCCAAUUAGAGGAAGAAAACAAGGAUUACAACAGUUAUGACAACUCACGGCCAUGGCAGAUUUUUUUUGGAACAACUUAAGCUUCUAAAGUGUCCUAAUUUAAUUUGAGACCUUGGGGAGCCCGAGGCGUAGAUUUGGAUUAGCUUUAGAUUGGCUAUCUUGGAAGUGCGUUCGAGGUACAGACGCACAGUUUGGUGAUCCUUCCGUUUAGGACAUCCCCUUCUGCUGUUUCGAGUGCUCUUCUCAUUCCAGAGCAUACAUUUUGGUAUAUAUUUGUUCGCUAUGUAUAUGUGUAUUUGUUCAGGGGUACGGCGGGGCCCUGUCCCGCCAUAUGAUUCGUUUGGUCUGUUUAGAGGUCUGUAGACGUAUUUGUGGGUGUGUGUGCCUGCUUCUGUACAGAUGUGUGUAUAUGUCCCUAUUCGCUAUGGCAGCCUCGUCGGCUUGCAUUUUGUAUAUGUAUAUGGCAGCCUUGUCGGCGUGCGUUUGUAUAUGUGUUUUGGGCCGUUGUGCCAUUUGACAGCCUUGCCGGCUUUUUGAUAUAUGUCUAUGUAUAUGUUGCGCUGAAAUGUGUCUGAUGCAGUUUGAUAUAGUUUGAGACGACAUAUAGCAGUUAUAGCCAUAUAUGCUAUCUGUUUGUGAUUCGAUUUGGAUAAGUGUGUUACGAUUUGAUAUGUUUGUCUGUCUGGGUGUCCAAGUAGGGCACCAGUUGCGGCCCACGGGGCUGGGU